This 454-nucleotide ribosomal RNA is filed under the name uncultured bacterium. Its description in RNAcentral is "bacterial SSU rRNA". It matches the Rfam family "Bacterial small subunit ribosomal RNA", at positions 1 to 507 of the family's 1533-position model. The record is from RNAcentral.
AGUAGUUUGAUCAUGGCUCAGAACGAACGCUGGCGGCAUGCCUAACACAUGCAAGUCGAACGAGACCUUCGGGUCUAGUGGCGCACGGGUGCGUAACGCGUGGGAAUCUGCCCCUUGGUUCGGAAUAACAGUUAGAAAUGACUGCUAAUACCGGAUGAUGACGAAAGUCCAAAGAUUUAUCGCCGAGGGAUGAGCCCGCGUAGGAUUAGCUAGUUGGUGAGGUAAAGGCUCACCAAGGCGACGAUCCUUAGCUGGUCUGAGAGGAUGAUCAGCCACACUGGGACUGAGACACGGCCCAGACUCCUACGGGAGGCAGCAGUGGGGAAUAUUGGACAAUGGGCGAAAGCCUGAUCCAGCAAUGCCGCGUGAGUGAUGAAGGCCUUAGGGUCGUAAAGCUCUUUUACCAGGGAUGAUAAUGACAGUACCUGGAGAAUAAGCUCCGGCUAACUCCGUG